GCGCGCGCAGGUGGUUUCUUCUGUCUGAUGUGAAAGCCCACCCCUCAACCCCGGAGGGUCAUUGGAAACUGGGAGACUUGAGUGCCGAAGAAGAAAGUGGAAUUCCAUGUGUAGCGGUGAAAUGCGUAGAGAUAUGGAGGAACACCACUGGCGAAGGCGACUUUCUGGUCUGUUACUGACACUGAGGCGCGAAAGCGUGGGGAGCAAACAGGAUUAUAUACCCUGGUAGUCCACGCCGUAAACGAUGAGUGCUAAGUGUUAGAGGGUUUCCGCCCUUUAGUGCUGAAGUUAACGCAUUAAGCACUCCGCCUGGGGAGUACGGCCGCAAGGCUGAAACUCACAGGAAUUGACGGGGGCCCGCACAAGCGGUGGAGCAUGUGGUUUAAUUCUAAGCAACGCGAAGAACCUUACCAGGUCUUGACAUCCUCUGAAAACCCUAGAGAUAGGGCUUCUCCUUCGGGAGCAGAGAGACAGGUGGUGCAUGGUUGUCGUCAGCUCGUGUCGUGAGAUGUUGGGUUAAGUCCCGCAACGAGCGCAACCCUUGAUCUUAGUUGCCAUCAUUAAGUUGGGCACUCUAAGGUGACUGCCGGUGACAAACCGGAGGAAGGUGGGGAUGACGUCAAAUCAUCAUGCCCCUUAUGACCUGGGCUACACACGUGCUACAAUGGACGGUACAAAGAGCUGCAAGACCGCGAGGUGGAGCUAAUCUCAUAAAA
This 716-nucleotide ribosomal RNA is filed under the name Bacillus cereus. Its description in RNAcentral is "bacterial SSU rRNA". It matches the Rfam family "Bacterial small subunit ribosomal RNA", at positions 565 to 1281 of the family's 1533-position model. Lineage: Bacteria; Bacillati; Bacillota; Bacilli; Caryophanales; Bacillaceae. The record is from RNAcentral.